AUUGCUUGCAACCUAAUGCAAAAAGUCUAAUAGCUUUAACAUGAAUACAUAUGAGGUAAAAGCAAAGGUCAAAAUCUAGAACGUUAAAUUAACAUAUGACCUUGAGCUCAAUUUCAAGGUCAUAAACCAAGGACCUCAAAUCGAAAGACUCUAGGUCUCUACUUUAUAUUGUUAAUGAGUUAUAUUACCAUACGACUGAUAUUAGAUAUAAAAGGGGGAAAACUCGCAUCAAAUGUUUAGGUACUCUUUCGACUAAAAUUUAUGUGUAACGACAUGUUGCGACUAACAAUUGUGUGAAAACAUUUUGUCGAUAUCUUAUAAGAUUUCUGAAAAUGAGAGAUAACAAGCCAAAAUCAAACUUUUGAACAUGACCUUGACCUUUGACCUUGACCUCAUUUUCAUUUUUUUAGACCAAGGAC
RNAcentral lists this long non-coding RNA (419 nucleotides) under Mytilus galloprovincialis (Mediterranean mussel). The record is from RNAcentral. Lineage: Eukaryota; Metazoa; Mollusca; Bivalvia; Mytilida; Mytilidae.